Molecule: long non-coding RNA, 6856 nt
Filed under: Brassica napus (rape)
Lineage: Eukaryota; Viridiplantae; Streptophyta; Magnoliopsida; Brassicales; Brassicaceae
Description: long non-coding RNA (BNAP_LNC009611)
Source: RNAcentral
GCAGCUGAAGAAGAUGAGCAAUGAAACGAAGGCUUCAGAAGGUGAUGAGCCGGUUAAAACAAAAGAGCAAGCUCAGUUGUCUAGUGAUGAAGAUGACGAUGAUGAGUCCAUUAAGGAGUUGAAGAAACCUUCUGGAGCCAAUGUAGACAUGAACAAACAAAGAAUUUCAAUCUCAAAGGCGAACAACAAAGGCAAAAAGAACAAAAACUUCAAAACCGAAAAUGCUAAUGUGGAAGGACCCAGGAAGCAAAAGAAGAAGAGAUCACAAUGGAAGGCUGAAAUUGCACAAGCUAGGUAAAAGAUUUCUAGUGUUUUUCCUGCUUUAUAUUGUUGAAUCAUAUGUAUCUAAUAGUUGAAUAUGUUGCAGGGAAGAUAAAAGAAAAGUCAUGAGAGAGAAUACUAAGGAGCCUGGGAGAAGAUAGGUUCUUGAUGCAUAUCGGAGAACAAUCAAUUGGUGUUCUGGUCAUGGCCAAGGAUACAAGAAAGGAGGUUUUGUUGGCUGAGGCUAAGGUAUCUGUUGCAGUGGCUUUGUAUUUUGUUUAAUCAACUGAGUUGGAUAACUUAAAACCAUGGGAAAGAAACAGUGACACUCUUGUGGACAAGUUGCAUGCAUGUCCAACAAAAGUUUUGUAUCAAUCUCAUAAGAUUGUUUUGUGUGGACCUGUUCUUAGUAUCUUUUUCCAUUGUGGAAUUAUAAAUUAGUUGAAAAAAAAUCAAAAUGAGUCCCCACUUUUGUCACAGGGUAACCACAAAAGUGUUUAUCACAGACUAUGGAUUUUUCUGAUCACAUCAACUCUUCUAUUGAAUAGAUAAAGUUUGGUCGAUUGGGGUCCAUUACACAACAUAAAAGGAUAGAAUGAGGGAAUCAAUCUGAUGAAAUUGAAACAGAGGGAAUUGGGAGUGAGCUGUUCAUUGUUAGGGGGAGAUGUGAAGGUUUUCUAAAGCGGGACUUGUGAAACAUGACAAUCCAUUCAGUUCUUGAUAUAUCUUUUGUCAGAUUCUCUUUGAGGACCUUUAACAUUAACUUCUCUUAACUAAUCUUCUUGUUAGUAUCUUUUAGAUUUUCAGCACAUAUUAUCCUGGCUGUACACAGUACACAAACACACAUUGAGAAAAAGUAUCAUUGUAUAAUUGAUGUAUGCACUUUACAUAUGGAUAUUCCAAAAUCGUAUAAAGAACUCUGAAAACAGAUUCCUUUGCAACCGGAAACAUACAGCUUUUAAAGGUAAAAAGUAAAUAUUAAUUCCUAGAAAACCUUGUUGCUGCAAAAUGUAUGUACAACGUAAUGGAUUGGAUACAUUUUUCAUAUAACAUUUACUUUUUACAUCAUUCUUGCAUAUAAUUAUUUAUUGUCUUGCAUAGUUUUCAUAACAGUUUGGGAACAUUGCAAAUAUAAAGCAGAAACUCUAUAAAUUAAUAUUCGAUAAAUUAAUAAAUAUAUAUUUUUCUGUUUCAUAUUACGUGUCAUUUUAUAUUUGUACACAUGAAUUAAAAAUAUAUUUAAUUUUUAUAUUUUCUAUAUAAAAACAUCAAUAUCCAUACACAUAACCAUAUUUUAACCAAUAGAAAAAUAAACUGAAAAAUAAAAUUAAUAAAUUUUGCAUUGAAAUACUAAAACGACACUUAUUUUGCAACGAUUUUUUUUUACAAUGACACGUAAUAUGAAACUGAGGGAGUAUGAUGUAACUAUAAACUAAUAUGAAUUAAUAAAAUAAAAAUAAAUGGAAUAAUAGGACUGGAAUAAAAAAAAUGAAAUUCAUUUUAUUUAUUCAUUAACAAAUUUGUUAUGUAAUAAUUUUCUUUGUAUUUUAUCUAAUUAUUUUUGGAAUUGGCAAAAUGAGUAUUUCAUUAUAUUCAUGUCAAAUAGUGAAUUUUUGUUUGAAUUAAUGGAAUAAGUCAUUUCACAUAAAUUAAUAAACUAGUUACAUACAUAAAUUAAUAAAAAAAUUUGAUCUUAAGUUAAACCGAUUUAAAAUAUGACAAAAAUCGAAAUUAAUUUUUUUAAAGUGUAUGUAAUUAUAUGGCUUCAUCAAAAUCAUAAAUUAAUAAUUAAUACAUACAACAAAUAAUAUGAUAAAUAAUAUAAAAGAUUAACUUUUAAAAUUUAGUUAAUACAUAUACAAUAAUGUAAUUUUUUAAAAAAUUAGAAAAUAAAUAUAUAUUUUUAUUUUAUAAAAGUAUAUUUUAAAUUUGAAAAAUCUAGAAUAUUUUUUUAAUAAAUUAAUAAAAUAUUAUAGUUUCAGCUUUAUUAAUUUAUAGAGUUUAUUUUAUUUGAAAAAUGUGGUGGCCAAAUUGCAAGGCAUAUGAGGACUCUCGAAAGUUGAGGAGACAUUUGUGUAUGAAUUCGAGUUUUGGGAAAUAUACAAACAUGGAAAGUAAAGAAAAAAAGGAAAUUGAAAAGCCCUAAAAAAAGAGUCGAAAACUUUUGCUUUGACCCACCUCCUCUGCUUUUCAUGGUAGACCCAACUCUCUCUCUCUCUCUCUCUCUCUCUCUCUCUCUCUUUUUCACUCACUCUCUCAUUCAUAUCUCUCUCUAUUCAUUUCAUUGCCAUUGAAGGAAGGAAGGUGAUGAGUUCCUCAUCUUCCUCUUUAGCAAUACAUGAUUAAUAAAGCCCUCCUCUUCUUCCUUUUAAUACCCUUUUUUCUUCUUCCUCUUCUCAAUUCUUGAGAACAAUUUUGUAUCAAGAUCCUCCUCUCCUAAAGCAAAGGUAAUGAUUUUUUUUGGUAUUUCUCGUUAAUUUCCCUUCUUUGUUUUUUUGUUGUUUCUCUCCAGAUCCAAAAGAGCUUUGCUUAAUUGUUCUUAGUUGUGAAGUCUCUACUACACGCAUGCGGCAUGUCAAACUCUAAACGAACUAAUAAGCUUUGCAUUAAUUUUCAACACUAAAUAAAAUUAAGCUGGCUAAUAAUGCAUACACGAAUUAUAGAAAAGUGGCCAAGGGUCACAUUGACAUAAACGCUAUUACACACUAUCCGGUGAGAGCAUAAUUAAUGGGAGAUUAUUAGGGUGGAGGUUCUUAGGGUGAGGGUUUCUAACGGAAUAUUUAAGAGUCGGUUUUUAGUUUUUUUAGUUAAAAUUUAAGGGACGGAUUCUUAUAUUCCGCUAAGAACCCAGAACCCCACCUCAAGAAAUCUCCAUUGAUCACGGUUUUAAGACAUGUCGAGUCUUAGCGAUCAUAUUUUUGCGUGGUAAAAAAGUCAUUGACAAGUGAAUCCAAUAGAUGGAACACAAUUUAAUGGGCUAGCAAGUAAAAUCUUUAACAAUGGCCCAUUAAGAGUUAAUUUCAUACAAAUAAGCCCACUAAACAGCGUAGUUUAAACCCUGUCUUCUUACACAACAGCUCUGCUAAACCUUCGCCGCAAUAAACCACCCAAAAGUCGUAAAACACCGUCGCCAUGCCUGCUCUUACGCGUAACAAGAAGAAGGGAGCUAAGUCGCAGACUCCUCCACUGAUUAAGCGGACUAAAUCGAAUCCCACGCCUCCACCGAAGAAGGCGGCGAAAUCCCAUAAGCCUCCGUUGAAGAAACAGAGGAAAGGUAUAUUGGAUGAGAAGCCUGAAGUUUAUAAUGAUGAGGAGGAAGAGGAAGAAGAAGAAGUGAGUGAACAUUCUGAUGAAGGAGAUGAAUUGGGUUCUGACUUGUUCUCAGAUGGUGAUGGAGAAGAAGAAGAAGAAGAAGAAGAUACAGAACCGUUGGGCGACGACUUUCUCGAUGGUAGCGAUGAUGAGGAGGAAACUUUGGGUUCUGAUUCUGACUCUGAUCUCGAGAAGGAAAGUAAAGCUAUUGAUGAAGAACGUGAAAGGCAGGAGCGAGAUGCGAAAGAUGAAUUGCAGAUGAACAUUAAGGAACAACCUGAUGAGUUUCGGCUACCAACGAAAAAGGUACAAUCUUUUUGAAUGUUACAAAUCAAAUUCAUUCCUUUUUUUUUAACAUUUUUGCAAUUGUUAGUUGGUUUUUGUUGAAAAGAUCAAUGGAGUAUUUGGAAUUUAGCUAUUUUAUCAUUGUUAUUAUUCUACAUUGUUUCAGGAACUUGAAGAAGAGGCAAGUGGGCCACCAGAUCUUCCUGCCUUGCAAACUAGGAUCAAAGAGAGUGAGCAACUUUUUCGAAUUUUAAGAUUCUUCCUAAGGAAUCAGCCUUUGACCUUUGUUCGUUGCUUGAUGUUACUUAUAUGUGUUUCAGUUGUUAGAGUGCUGUCGAAUUUUAAGGAUUUAAGGCCAGAAGGAGUCAAGAGGAAGGAGUUUGUUGAACAGCUUAAGGCUGAUCUUGCUUCUUAUUACGGCUAUAAUGAGUUUCUUAUUGGAACUCUUGUUGAGGUUUUUCGCUUAUCUCUGACUUCUCUUUUUAUGUUCACUCUCUUUGAUCUAAGCGCUAGCUAAUUUUGUUACUCACAUAUGGUGAAUUGGGAUAUUUUUGGCAGAUGUUUCCUCCUGUUGAACUCAUGGAACUAAUCGAAGCUUUUGAAAAGCAAAGGCCUACUUCUAUACGUACCAACACUCUUAAGGUGAACUUGGUUGUACAGUUUUACUCUGGAGUAGUAACUGUUUCUCAAUUGUUGAGGUGUAAAUAAUUAUAUGGUGAUGUUUGUUUUGGAUAGACUCGGAGACGGGAUCUGGCUGAUGUACUUUUGAACAGAGGAGUUAAUCUAGACCCAUUAAGCAAGUGGUCAAAAGUAAGUUGUGUUUGAAGAUUGUGUUCGUCCUAUUUUGUGGACAUUCUGUAACUAAUCCUGUGAUUAAAAAUUAUAGGUUGGACUUGUCGUUUAUGAUUCACAAGUUCCAAUUGGUGCAACUCCUGAAUAUUUGGCUGGUUUCUAUAUGGUAAGUGUUUUCUUGAUCUUUUUGUACUUCCAGCUCAUACUUACUUUACGGGUAUCAUGUACUUGUUUUCUGAAGUCUGUUCUUGGUGCAUUUGCAGUUGCAAAGUGCUAGUUCCUUCUUGCCAGUGAUGGCUCUUGCUCCUCGAGAGAAUGAGCGCGUUGUGGACAUGGCGUAAGUUUAUUGUAUCUAUGCUGACAAAGUUGUACCUUAAGUUGAUUUUCAAGUGCAUGUUUGUGAUUUAUAUCAUGUCUUGUAAUUCAAAGUUCUAUUAGAAACGGACUAGUCAAUAUGAAUGCUCCAUUACGUAGGAGAUGCAAUUAGUUUAGUGUGAUAUAUAUAUAUAUAACAAGGUCUUUAUACUCUAUGCCUGCAGUGCUGCCCCUGGUGGUAAAACAACUUAUGUUGCUUCCCUAAUGAAGAAUACUGGUAUGCAUUCAUUGGUUUCUUUGUCCUCUUAACCUCUAAUUUUUAUUUUUAGUUGGUUAUCCUAACGUUAUGAUGAUAAUUGUGACCAGGCAUAAUAUAUGCAAACGAGAUGAAAGUACCUAGGCUUAAGUCACUCACUGCCAAUCUGCAUCGCAUGGGGGUGACAAAUACCAUAGUUUGUAACUAUGAUGGAAGAGAGGUUAGCUUCUUGAACCUAUAUACAUACUUGAGGAUAUUAAAUUCUGCAAACUAUUUGUAGACCAUGAGCUCUACCAAAUGAAAAGUUACUGACAAAACUGUAUCACGGAACUAAAAUUUUACGGACACCUUCUCUACUAUUCGCAUUGCAGUUCUUGUUUAUACCAUUUUGUUUUCCUCUCAGCUACCCAAGGUUUUUGGUCCGAACUCGGUAGAUAGAGUAUUGUUGGAUGCUCCUUGCAGUGGAACUGGAGUAAGAAACUUUCUUUCGGCCCUCUUAUCGUCUCUUAAGUUUUUCUCCAUGUCCGUAACUUUUAUGUCUUCUUCUACAUAAUGCAGGUUAUAUCAAAAGAUGAAUCAGUUAAAACUUCCAAAAGUGCCAAUGACAUAAGGAAAUUUGCUGAUUUGCAAAAGGUUUGGCUGGGCCUUUAUUACUCUUUUACAUUCCCAAACGAUUUUUUUUAAUGAUGAAAAUUGUUGUAACAACCUUUUACAUUUUGUUACUGUGAUAAGCUUAGAAGGAUGCCUGAGGCUUGUAAUGCUAACCAUACUCUUUUUAUAUUUUUCUGCAUAGCAACUUAUACUUGCUGCUAUUGAUUUGGUGGACGCCGAAUCCAAAACCGGUGGAUAUAUUGUUUACUCAACAUGCUCCAUUAUGAUUCCCGAGGUUGGUUAACCGUAAUUGUUUUUAUUCCACUGUUUUUGUUCUUGCGUCCUCAUGUUUUGUCAGUAUUUUGAUUUAUAAAACAAAACUAUGCAGAACGAAGCUGUGAUCGAUUAUGCCUUAAAAAAGAGGGAUGUCAAACUCGUUCCAUGUGGACUUGAUUUUGGGCAAGCAGGGUAAUAUACAUUUUCAUCUCCAUAGGAACGUUUCAUGCUCUUUCGUCUAACUACAAAUGUUCUACUUCAUGUCAUCAGAUUUAGUAGAUUUAGAGAACACCGGUUCCACCCUACUUUGGAGAAAACUAGACGCUUCUAUCCCCACGUCCACAACAUGGACGGAUUCUUUGUGGCAAAGGUAUUAUACACCUGAGGUUUAGCCUGUGAUCAGCUUUUUCCCCCGAAAGAUACUAGAAUAUAUGUUCUAUGAAAAAUAUCAUAGUGCUCAAAUCGAUAAUGUAUUUCUUUCUUAUUCGUCCUGCAGCUGAAGAAGAUGAGCAAUGAAACGAAGGCUUCAGAAGGUGAUGAGCCGGUUAAAACAAAAGAGCAAGCUCAGUUGUCUAGUGAUGAAGAUGACGAUGAUGAGUCCAUUAAGGAGUUGAAGAAACCUUCUGGAGCCAAUGUAGACAUGAACAAACAAAGAAUUUCAAUCUCAAAGGCGAACAACAAAGGCAAAAAGAACAAAAACUUCAAAACCGAAAAUGCUAAUGUGGAAGGACCCAGGAAGCAAAAGAAGAAGAGAUCACAAUGGAAGGC